UAAGAGUCUCCUAGUUGGUCUGGUUUUGAAGGCAUGAAAGGGUCAUGGAGAGCAGCUUAAACUUGGCACCAUGAGAUGCCAGAAGAGGCCACUGGUGAAGGUACAGCCACAGCUGCAGUAGAAGCCCCAGGACUGAAGGGGUCAUGAAGUGAAACUAAGGAUUCAUACUAUGUCGCACAAUCAAAGCCCCUGAAGAGAGCCCAGUAGAGGCCAUUGGUGAAGAUGCAGUCCAGUUCUCGAAGAGACCCCAGCAUUUUAGAAAUGGGACAACCACUAAGGACUGCAGCAGGUGUGGAGUGGAGCCAGCCUGAGCCUAGAAAACAACCUGUGUAUGUCAACAAUGGCAGAGGUAGAGAAAUUGAACUCUUUGGAGAAGCCCAGAGCGUGACAAGAAAGCAAUCUUCUGGGAAGUCUAAGAACAGAGUCCUGGCAUCUGCUCAGCAUCUGGUGAGGGCCCUCUGGCUGUGUCAGCUCAUGGAAGAAGGCUGUCAGGAUCCCACUCUCGCCAUCACACAGGGGUCCAUCCUUGAGGACAGAGCCCUUUAGACUUCAUUUCCUCAACCCUGCUCACUCACUGUCUGCUCAGUAUCACUUCACUGGGGCUCAAGUUUCUAAUACACUUCUGAGUCUGAUAGCCCAGACCUAUAGUCAUAAUUGCCGCUACUGCUGAAACUGAGGCAAAAGGACCACAAAUCCAAGGCCUGCCUAGCUACAGUGAAUUUAAUAGUCUAUGCAACUUGGUGAUGUUCUGUCUCAAAAGGAAAAAUAAUAAAGAAGAGGUCUGGGGAUAUGCUUGUGGUAGACUGUUUGCGUAGCUAUAUC
RNAcentral lists this long non-coding RNA (822 nucleotides) under Cricetulus griseus (Chinese hamster). RNAcentral's name for it is "lncRNA (ENSCGRG00015033332.1)". Lineage: Eukaryota; Metazoa; Chordata; Mammalia; Rodentia; Cricetidae. The record is from RNAcentral.